RNAcentral lists this long non-coding RNA (306 nucleotides) under Salvia miltiorrhiza (redroot sage). RNAcentral's name for it is "long non-coding RNA (SMIL_LNC002788)". The record is from RNAcentral. Lineage: Eukaryota; Viridiplantae; Streptophyta; Magnoliopsida; Lamiales; Lamiaceae.
AAAAAUGUAGGUAUUUUGAUUGGUUGGACGAACCUAUGAGUGAAAGAGCAAAGAAAGUUAUCAAUGAGUUGAAGAGGGAGAAUUUGAAGCUCAUGAAGUUGAAGGGAAGCUCAAGCUCAUCCAUGGAUGUGGAUAGUGAAAUUGCUAAGCUUUGGGAUGUUUUGCAAGCUAUGAAAGAAGAAUCAAGGAAGAUAAAGGAAGAAAAGUAGAUUAAUUACAUACAUUUUGCUUGGUUCUUGGUUGAUGUUAGCAUAUUUUGCACUAGCUUAGUUUGUCUAUGUAAUUUGGCUAAGUACUAUAUUUUGG